GAUGAACGCUGGCGGCGUGCUUAACACAUGCAAGUCGAACGGAAAGGCCCAAGCUUGCUUGGGUACUCGAGUGGCGAACGGGUGAGUAACACGUGGGUGAUCAGCCCCGCACUUCGGGAUAAGCCUGGGAAACUGGGUCUAAUACCGGAUAGGACCACUUCUUGGAGGUUGUGGUGGAAAGUUUUUUCGGUGUGGGAUGAGCUCGCGGCCUAUCAGCUUGUUGGUGGGGUAAUGGCCUACCAAGGCGUCGACGGGUAGCCGGCCUGAGAGGGUGUACGGCCACAUUGGGACUGAGAUACGGCCCAGACUCCUACGGGAGGCAGCAGUGGGGAAUAUUGCACAAUGGGCGCAAGCCUGAUGCAGCGACGCCGCGUGGGGGAUGACGGCCUUCGGGUUGUAAACUCCUUUCGCUAGGGACGAAGCGCAAGUGACGGUACCUAGAGAAGAAGCACCGGCUAACUACGUG
This 466-nucleotide ribosomal RNA is filed under the name uncultured bacterium. RNAcentral's name for it is "partial 16S ribosomal RNA". It matches the Rfam family "Bacterial small subunit ribosomal RNA", at positions 28 to 507 of the family's 1533-position model. The record is from RNAcentral.